CUUAAAUUGAAGAGUUUGAUCAUGGCUCAGAUUGAACGCUGGCGGCAGGCCUAACACAUGCAAGUCGAGCGGCAGCGGGAAGUAGUUUACUACUUUGCCGGCGAGCGGCGGACGGGUGAGUAAUGUCUGGGGAUCUGCCUGAUGGAGGGGGAUAACUACUGGAAACGGUAGCUAAUACCGCAUGACCUCGCAAGAGCAAAGUGGGGGACCUUAGGGCCUCACGCCAUCGGAUGAACCCAGAUGGGAUUAGCUAGUAGGUGGGGUAAUGGCUCACCUAGGCGACGAUCCCUAGCUGGUCUGAGAGGAUGACCAGCCACACUGGAACUGAGACACGGUCCAGACUCCUACGGGAGGCAGCAGUGGGGAAUAUUGCACAAUGGGCGCAAGCCUGAUGCAGCCAUGCCGCGUGUGUGAAGAAGGCCUUCGGGUUGUAAAGCACUUUCAGCGAGGAGGAAGGGGUUGAGUUUAAUACGCUCAAUCAUUGACGUUACUCGCAGAAGAAGCACCGGCUAACUCCGUGCCAGCAGCCGCGGUAAUACGGAGGGUGCAAGCGUUAAUCGGAAUUACUGGGCGUAAAGCGCACGCAGGCGGUUUGUUAAGUCAGAUGUGAAAUCCCCGCGCUUAACGUGGGAACUGCAUUUGAAACUGGCAAGCUAGAGUCUUGUAGAGGGGGGUAGAAUUCCAGGUGUAGCGGUGAAAUGCGUAGAGAUCUGGAGGAAUACCGGUGGCGAAGGCGGCCCCCUGGACAAAGACUGACGCUCAGGUGCGAAAGCGUGGGGAGCAAACAGGAUUAGAUACCCUGGUAGUCCACGCUGUAAACGAUGUCGACUUGGAGGUUGUGCCCUUGAGGCGUGGCUUCCGGAGCUAACGCGUUAAGUCGACCGCCUGGGGAGUACGGCCGCAAGGUUAAAACUCAAAUGAAUUGACGGGGGCCCGCACAAGCGGUGGAGCAUGUGGUUUAAUUCGAUGCAACGCGAAGAACCUUACCUACUCUUGACAUCCACAGAAUUUGGCAGAGAUGCUAAAGUGCCUUCGGGAACUGUGAGACAGGUGCUGCAUGGCUGUCGUCAGCUCGUGUUGUGAAAUGUUGGGUUAAGUCCCGCAACGAGCGCAACCCUUAUCCUUUGUUGCCAGCACGUAAUGGUGGGAACUCAAGGGAGACUGCCGGUGACAAACCGGAGGAAGGUGGG
RNAcentral lists this ribosomal RNA (1190 nucleotides) under Yersinia pestis. RNAcentral describes it as "bacterial SSU rRNA". It matches the Rfam family "Bacterial small subunit ribosomal RNA", at positions 1 to 1177 of the family's 1533-position model. Lineage: Bacteria; Pseudomonadati; Pseudomonadota; Gammaproteobacteria; Enterobacterales; Yersiniaceae. The record is from RNAcentral.